GGGACAUCAGAUAUUCUCUGAACCAGGAAUCACAGAUGCAUUUUGUCUUGUGUGAUGACUCUGCUCAGUUGGUAUUGGUAGCCUGGAAAAUUCAGUGUUGUGAAGGAUUCUGAGGUCCUAUCUAGGCCCAGCGAGGAAGAUUAAGAUGAUGUCUUCUGUAGGUAAAGUCCUGGAGAUGGGUGAUAGGCAUUCUGUGGGUUGUACUGAAUCCAACUUGAGCUGGGCUGCUUUGUGCUUUGGCUCUGGUCUGUCUCAUUACAGAGAGUUAUGUCAUAUUGUAGCCACACUUGGAAUGUGGCUUUGCCUACCUUGUUCCUCUCAUUCUGACCGUCAGGGUGAUAAUGAUGGUUGAGGAGUGGAUGGACAUGGUUGAGUCUAUGUGGCUGUCACCACUCGCUAAACAACUCUCGGUUCUGAAGAGUCACCUGCAGCUUGCUUGACUGGAUUUUCUCCUCUCUGCAAUGACCAAGUUCUUUGGAACAUCUGGUCAUUGUGGCUGGUGUUUAUUCUACUUGUGCCACUGCUAAGUAAGGCCUGAUUUAGGGCAAGGAAAUAGAGUCCAUAUGUAUCCCUCCUUAGCUCAGUUUCUUUUUUAGGGACUCCAAUCAAUUUAUCAAUAUAUUUAAUUAAUUUAUUUGUCAUUUGAAGACUUUUAUUUUUUCUAUUAUAGUUUAUUUACAGUGUUCUAUUUCUGCUGUAUAGCAAAGUAACCCAGUCACACACACACACACACAUUUUUUUUUCUCACAUUUUCCUCCAUCAUGUUCCAUCACAAGUGACUAGAUAUAGUUCCCUGUGCUAUACAGCAGGAUCUCAUUGCUUAUCCACUCCAGAUGCAAUAGUUUUCAUCUACUAACCCCAAACUCCCAUCCAUCCCACUUCCUCCCCCUUGGCAGCAACAAGUCUAUUCUCCAAGUCCAUGAGUUUCUUUUCUGCAGAUAGGUUCAUUUGUGCCAUAUAUUAGAUUCCAGAUAUGUGAUAUCAUAUGGUGUUUGUCUUUCUCUUUCUGAUUUACUUCCCUUAGUAUGAGGAUAUAGCCAUUCACAGUAAAAACAGCCACAGAAACAAAACUUUGCUGAUUUGAUAGCAGGAAAGUUGACAUCAGUCAUUUUCAUGUUUACUUUUUUGAUUUACAGUAUAGUUGGGCAUUUUCUGAUAUGUUAUUUGCCUAUAUGCAUUUAUUCUGAUCUGAGUUGCCUAUUCAUGCCCUUUGCUCAUUUUUCUAUCACAAGGAUUUUUUUCUCACUCAUUUGCAAGUAUGUUUUAUAUAAUAAUUUUAACAAUUAUUUUUAUAAUUAAAAUACGAACUUUGUGGAGGCUGCAAAAAAAUAUUUCAGUAAACAUCUUUGCACAUGAUAACGAGGGUUUGCUAUUUUUAAUCUUUGCUGUCUCUGUGGUUAUUCCACCAAAUCUUUUCUUCCUAAUUAUGUGUAUCUUGCUUAUUUUUUUCCUGAUUAAGUCCCUGGGAGUUUUAUAUCUUUGCCUUGGAUUUUUAAAAUCUAAACUCCAAACAUUUCUCCUUUUCUUUUUAUUAAUAGUUCUUUAUAUUUUUUCUCUGGUGGUUCUGUUGUUCUCUUCUAACUUCCUGAGUUGAUGCUCAACACAUUUACUUGUAUCAUUUAAAAAGCAGUAACUGUAGCAUUUAAUACUAUGAGUUGCACUUCUGAUUACAGCUUUGGGCACUUUACAUGUGAAUUUAAAACACAUAGUAUUCUCAUUAUUGUUAUUUUCCUUGUGAUUAUUGGGUUUGAUUUCCUCUUUGUUUCAAGCUCUUUGGGGGGGGGUGCCUUUACAUUUUUAAGUGGCCAAAGUUUAAAAAAGUAAUUUCUAGUUUUAUUGCCUUGUGGACAGACAAUUCAACUUUGAGCUACUGUUCAUGGCUUGACAUCUCGAGUCCAGUAGCUCAUGCAUCUGAGACAGGCCUGAGAAUGUCCCUGCUCUUUUGGAAGCUUAAGUUCUGAAUAUCCUUUGGUCUGGGAUGGAGUUGAAAAGCUCUCCACAGUGUUCCUGUGUGUAGCCCUGGUAUGGAUAAUAGUGAUGGUUGUUGAAAAGUCAAAAGUUAAAGAGGCUACUUCAGAAUCUGCUUUUUUAAUCCACCCCCCACUGUAUAUUUUAAAGCCGAAAGUUACCUGGCAAUAUCAGAGGCUAGAAUUUUCUCCUUUUCUUAGAUGAUGGUGUGAAUGAUAAUAGAACAUAAUAAUGUUCCCUCACUGCAGGGAUCUAGGAUUAGAAGCUGUUCAUGUUGCUUCAUCCAGAGAAAGUCCCGAAUAUGUUUCUUAGGAAUUUACCCUGCUUUGUGCUGGGUUCCCACUAUACCACAGAAGAACUGUUGGUCUAGUUGAUUACUUGCUACCCAUAAAGUUGAGCUUUCAGCGGGAAGGGCCUAGCCAGUGGGCUGCAACUACCUUCUUGAGUCAGUGGAAAUGCGUCUUGUUGAACCGUGGAUUUUCAUUUGAAGAAAAGAAGUGUUGCCCAUUUUAGUGUCCACUUAAAAAAAUAAAGCAAGGGAGAGAUUUUUAUUUCCAUAUGGGUUAUGUUAAGGAACGUAUGUGUGCGUGUAUGUGUGUGUGAAUGUGUGCACAUACGUAAGAAAGAGAAAUGGCCCUAUUAUGGGAAGCCUCAUUAAAGAGGCCUGGAAAAGGUUAGUCCAUUUGCAGACUAUACAUCUUAAUCUCCCCACACAGCAUACUAACCUGGGAGGAGAGAGAAUCUAUGGCCAGAGGGACCCUGGCUUCCUUCCAAGCCCCGGAUCAAGUAGACCUUGCAUUUUCCCGCUGGCUCCCCUCAUUAGCACUAUAUAUUAACUUGGAGAAACUGUUAUCCCAAGGGGCUCCAGGAAAUGGGAGGACAUGGAAGCCAGAGCAGAGUGGGGGAGACCCAGGUCUCCCCUCUGGCUGCUGCUUGUUUGCUGGCAGGUGCAUCUGGGGAUCGGGCCCCUGAAAAUUGGGGAGAGGAAGCCGGGAGGGUGCUAUAGCUUAAAGCAGUGCUGAUAGGUUGAGCGGCCUUUCACCUGUUGCUGGCUGGUUCCCAUCUGUGUUAACAGCUUCCAACUGGCUUCAUUAUUGGAGAAACCAGAGGGCUCUGGACAAGGGCCCUUAAGCCAGUUCUGCAUGCGCUCCUAGGUCCUGUCAAGGGCCCUUUCUAGGUUCCAUGUUGCAACACAGAGGAGUGGGAAUAGGCAGGCAGGAGGCCCUGGGCUGUUAUGGCUUGAUCUUUACCCAAAGUGUAACCUGUGACCAGUUACUCAUUCUUCUGAACCUCAGUUUCCCCAUAUGAAAGGGGAGUGUGUGUGUGUUGGUUGGGUAGGAAGUAGAAACACAAUUCCACCUACUUCUAAGGUAGAAGGAUUAGGGGGAGAAGGAAGAGGGGAACUUUUUUUUUGAUUUUUUUAUAUCACAUGUCAGGCUUUAGACUGGUGCUUUCAUGCAGAUGUCAGAACAUCACUCACUUCCCUUCCCAUCCUUGUCCUACGCAGUGCAGCUUCCCCUCUCCCUGAUCUCUUCUCUGUCUUCCCAUGGCACCUAGUCUGUCCUUUACCCAGACCCUUGCUCCCUAUGUAAGCCAGCAAUUCUGGCAUCACCUGGAAGCUUGUUAGAAAUUCAGACUCUCUGGCCCUGCCCUGGAUCUACUGAAUGAGGCUUUGCAGUUGAACAAGAUCCCCAGGUGACUUUUGUGCAUAAUAAGGUCAUUGUGCUGCCCAAGAGGCUCCUGUCCACUUGUGUGCAUGUGUCCGCAACAUUCAGGAUUCUUUCUUCACAGUAGCCUCUGUUCCAGGCAUUGCCAUGGACACAGGAGGCGCUGAAUGUCCCCAUUUUAAAGGUUUUGGCAUGAAAGGGACUAUGUUCUGGAUAUACAACGUUCUCUCUUUGUCACACUCUGCCAAGUCUUCUGAGUACAUUAAGAAUGGAGACUAUUUGGGCUUAGCUGUCCUUACUGCCUUAUAAAGGGAUCCUGAAUUCACAGGCAAAAGCAGACCAAAACCUGGAGUUGCCAUCAUGGCUCCGCAGAAAUGAAUCUGACUAGUAUCCAUGAGGAUGCAGGUUCAAUCCCUAGCCUUGCUCAAUGGGUUAACAAUACGGCCUUGCUGUGAGCUGUGGUAUAAGUCCCAGACAUGGCUCAGAUCCCACAUUGCUGUGGCUGUGGCAUAGGCUGGCAGCUGUAGCUCUGAUUCUACCUCUAGCCUGGGAACCUCCAUAUGCCAUGGGUGUGGCCUUAAAAAGC
This 4221-nucleotide long non-coding RNA is filed under the name Sus scrofa (pig). RNAcentral's name for it is "lncRNA (ENSSSCG00000053309.1)". Lineage: Eukaryota; Metazoa; Chordata; Mammalia; Artiodactyla; Suidae. The record is from RNAcentral.